This 454-nucleotide ribosomal RNA is filed under the name uncultured organism. Its description in RNAcentral is "partial 16S ribosomal RNA". It matches the Rfam family "Bacterial small subunit ribosomal RNA", at positions 332 to 801 of the family's 1533-position model. The record is from RNAcentral.
CGUACAUCCUGCGGGAGGCAGCAGUGGGGAAUAUUGGACAAUGGGCGCAAGCCUGAUCCAGCCAUGCCGCGUGAGUGAUGAAGGCCCUAGGGUUGUAAAGCUCUUUCACCGGUGAAGAUAAUGACGGUAACCGGAGAAGAAGCCCCGGCUAACUUCGUGCCAGCAGCCGCGGUAAUACGAAGGGGGCUCGCGUUGUUCGGAUUUACUGGGCGUAAAGCGCACGUAGGCGGACUAUUAAGUCAGGGGUGAAAUCCCGGGGCUCAACCCCGGAACUGCCUUUGAUACUGGUAGUCUUGAGUUCGAGAGAGGUGAGUGGAAUUCCGAGUGUAGAGGUGAAAUUCGUAGAUAUUCGGAGGAACACCAGUGGCGAAGGCGGCUCACUGGCUCGAUACUGACGCUGAGGUGCGAAAGCGUGGGGAGCAAACAGGAUGAGAAACCCCGGUAGUCCCAUGAU